UACGUAGGGGGCAAGCGUUGUCCGGAAUCAUUGGGCGUAAAGCGCGUGUAGGCGGUUCGAUAAGUCUGCUGUGAAAGUCCAGGGCUCAACCCUGGGAUGCCGGUGGAUACUGUCGGGCUAGAGUGCGGAAGAGGCGAGUGGAAUUCCUGGUGUAGCGGUGAAAUGCGCAGAUAUCAGGAGGAACACCAAUUGCGAAGGCAGCUCGCUGGGACGUGACUGACGCUGAGACGCGAAAGCGUGGGGAGCAAACAGG
This 253-nucleotide ribosomal RNA is filed under the name uncultured bacterium. RNAcentral's name for it is "partial 16S ribosomal RNA". It matches the Rfam family "Bacterial small subunit ribosomal RNA", at positions 524 to 776 of the family's 1533-position model. The record is from RNAcentral.